AUCAAUAAGCAAGCUGAGAUUAUAAUGAAGACACAACUUGAAGGAGAGGAGAAUUCAAUGAAGGAUAUGAUGAAGGCUAUGCAAACACGGGCUUUGCUUGAGAAAUAUGAAGCAGAAAGAAAAGCAAAUGUGAAUGAUGCAGAUGCAGAAAGAAAAGCAAAUGUGAAUGAUGCAGAUGCAAGUCAAAGUAACCAGGAGACGGAACCCACCACCAAGCAGCACGCACAGAUAAGAUGACUAGAUCUGGUUUUUGUAAAUGCGUCUCUCUCCUUCCUUUGGUGAUAAUUUUUGGAUGUGCUCAUGAGUUUUGAU
Molecule: long non-coding RNA, 312 nt
Filed under: Populus trichocarpa (black cottonwood)
Lineage: Eukaryota; Viridiplantae; Streptophyta; Magnoliopsida; Malpighiales; Salicaceae
Description: long non-coding RNA (PTRI_LNC002871)
Source: RNAcentral